This 485-nucleotide ribosomal RNA is filed under the name uncultured Coriobacteriaceae bacterium. RNAcentral describes it as "partial 16S ribosomal RNA". The record is from RNAcentral. Lineage: Bacteria; Bacillati; Actinomycetota; Coriobacteriia; Coriobacteriales; Coriobacteriaceae.
CACGUAGUUAGCCGGGGCUUCUUCUGCAGGUACCGUCGAUGUUCUUCCCUGCUGAAAGCGGUUUACAACCCGAAGGCCGUCAUCCCGCACGCGGCGUUGCUGCGUCAGGGUUUCCCCCAUUGCGCAAUAUUCCCCACUGCUGCCUCCCGUAGGAGUCUGGGCCGUAUCUCAGUCCCAAUGUGGCCGAUCGCCCUCUCAGGCCGGCUACCCAUCGCAGGCUAGGUGGGCCGUUGCCCCGCCUACUACCUAAUGGGCCGCGACCCCAUCCCGCACCGUCGGAGCUUUCCUCCGUGGCGCAUGCGCGCCUCGGAGAGUAUCCGGUAUUAGCCGCCGUUUCCGGCGGUUGUCCCGGGGUGCGGGGCAGGUUGGUCACGUGUUACUCACCCGUUCGCCACUGUAUGUCCGCCCCGAAGGGCGGUUUAACCGUUCGACUUGCAUGUGUUAGGCACGCCGCCAGCGUUCAUCCUGAGCCAGGAUCAAACUCU